This 670-nucleotide unclassified non-coding RNA is filed under the name Hevea brasiliensis (rubber tree). Lineage: Eukaryota; Viridiplantae; Streptophyta; Magnoliopsida; Malpighiales; Euphorbiaceae. The record is from RNAcentral.
UUGCUGAUACACUUUACACGGGUCAUACAAGCAAAGCCACAGACCUGUGUAAUCUACUGCCAGGAGAAAGCUCAAAAGCCAACGAAGAAACACAGUGCACGGGCCGUGUACCACGACCCGUGUAAAUUAUGGAGACCCGUGUAAGUCUCUGCUUGAAGAACUCUUUAAAGAGUAAAAGAACACGGGCUGUGUAAUCAGACUCGUGUAACUAGUAAUGCCCCGUGUAAUAUCCUGUGUCAAUACAAUAUGCAACCAUUCAAGCUCCAGUAAGUUGCAUAGCCUUGGGCCGUGUAGUGAUACACGGAUCGUGUAUUAGCCGACAGCCAGUUUCCUGAUUAGGGUUCCAGCUCCAGUUUUUGCAGAGAGAAGAGACUCCUGAUACCUUAGGGACUCUAAAAACCUAACCGUAGAUCAUUCAAUAUAAAUAGAAUCAGCAGAAAACACAAAAGGAGAUUCGAAAACAGAGAGCUUUUGAUAUUUUUUCACAUACAUACUCUUCACAGCCGUCUUGGAGAAUAAGACCAUUAGCACAAAAAGGAAAUCUUCAGCCGAAGUUCCACAAGUUUAAAGUUGCAGAAAAUCCUCUUCGGUUUUUUUUAUUCUAUUUCUUUAAGCAGACUUUUUUAUGUUCUUUUAUUUUAUUUUCAUUAUGUUUGUUAAACUCACAAUG